Molecule: ribosomal RNA, 229 nt
Filed under: uncultured bacterium
Lineage: Bacteria
Description: partial 16S ribosomal RNA
Rfam family: Bacterial small subunit ribosomal RNA
Source: RNAcentral
UGUGUAGGCGGUUUCGUAUGUCGGAUGUGAAAGCCCAUGGCUCAACUAUGGAAUUGCAUCCGAAACUGCGGGACUAGAGUACAGUAGGGGAGAGCGGAAUUCUAGGUGUAGCGGUGAAAUGCGUUGAUAUCUAGAAGAACACCGGUGGCGAAGGCGGCUCUCUGGAAUGUUACUGACGCUGAGACACGAAAGUCGGGGGAGCAAACAGGAUUAGAUACCCUGGUAGUCC